Molecule: RNA transcript, 1647 nt
Organism: Ipomoea nil (Japanese morning glory)
Lineage: Eukaryota; Viridiplantae; Streptophyta; Magnoliopsida; Solanales; Convolvulaceae
Exons: 9
Source: RefSeq, a predicted model, not a curated record
CAAUCUAUGGUUGGUCGAAAGAGAACCUAUGGUCGACCUUCUUGAUUUGCUCCGCUCUGCAAUUCAUAGGAAAUUUUGACGCCAAAAAAUGGUAACCAAUCAUUUGAAUGGCCAAGGUUUAACGGACCCAUAAAACUACAAAAGCUACGACCUACGAGCCGAGGAAUAAGGAGUGUAGGACAAAUGGCCACCUCACAUCUUCCCGCCCUCAUUUUCCGGCCAACCCUCCACCGGAAAUUCCACCCCCAACUACCCACCACCAUCUCCCUCACCCAUCCCCAACCCCAACCCCAACCCAGAAAAGGCCUCAGAUCACAUGAGAAGCUGAAGGGGGGUGUUCGGGUAAGCAUGGCGGAUCAAGAAACUAGUCCGCCGCCAAGCCCAAAACAAGAAACUAGUCCGCCGCCAAGCCCAAAACAAGAAACAGACCCCAAUUUGGAGGAGCUGGUGGAUUUCUUGUACAAAGAUCUUCCCCACCUCUUCGAUGACAAAGGAAUUGAUCCCACGGCCUACGAUGCUGCUGUGAAGUUCAGAGACCCCAUCACCCGCCACGACAACCUUAGAAGCUACCUCCUUAAUAUUGCCACUUUGAAAUACUUGUUUAGGCCUAAGUUCACCUUGCAUUGGGUCAAACAGACAGGGCCCUAUAAAAUAACCACACGCUGGACUAUGGUCAUGAGGUUCCUUCUUCUGCCAUGGCAACCUGAGUUAGUCUUCACCGGAACUUCUGUCAUGAAAGUCAACCCAGAAACAAACAAAUUUAUCAAACAUGUUGAUUACUGGGAUUCAAUUGUGAGCAGUGAAUUUUUUUCUAUAGAAGGUUUAUUCGAUGUAAUACAGCAGUUGUGGUUUUACAAGACCCCAGACUUGGAAACACCUUCUUAUCAAAUCCUAAAAAGAACUGCUAGUUAUGAGGUAAGAAAGUAUGAUCCAUUUCUAGUUGUAGAAGCGGAUGGCAAUACCUUAUCAGGAUCAAAAGGUUUCAAGGAUGUGGCUGGGUAUAUCUUUGGGAAGAACUCUGAAUCGGAGAAGAUACCUAUGACUACUCCCGUGUUCACUCAGGCAUCAGAUGAUCAAAAAUCCAAAGUCUCGAUCCAGAUUGUUCUUCCAUCAACUAAAUCUUUGGACAGUUUACCAACCCCGAAUGAAGAAGGAUUAAAAUUGAGGAAAGUUGAAGGAGGCAUUGCUGCAGUGACCAAAUUCAGCGGGAAACCAACAGAGAACAUUGUUCUUGAGAAGGAGAAAGAGCUGAGGUCUAGUCUUAUUAGAAAUGGCCUCGAACCUAAACCGGGGUGCCUGCUUGCUCGCUACAAUGAUCCUGAUAAAACUUGGGAACACAUAAUGAGAAAUGAAGUGCUUAUAUGGCUGGAGGAAUUCUCACUGGAUUGAUGCUUUGGCAAUUUUGGUACCUGGAGUAGAGGAGCAGUAGCACAUAUUUUUCAUAUGUACUAUUCAAGCUGUAUAUGUGUUUUUGUUGUUUUGUACUGAAUAGUUGUAAUUUGUAAAGAUGCACUUGAUUUUGAGAUAUGGAUCAGGGAGGAAUGUUGAUUGAUAACAAACAAUCCUAGUCUACUAGGUUAGUGUAGUAUUUGUUCUAAGGUUUCUUUAGAUAGUUUAAUGUAAAAGGAAAAAAAAAAUCAUUUUUUU